GGAAAGGGGUUUGGAUGAAAUUGAAGACCUCACCAUUUCUGUCUGGCGCCUUCCGAUUUGAUGAGCUACCGUUCGGUGUGGGGGAGUCCAAGCUCUUUGCCUUGUCACGUGCCACGGACCAGUGUUUUAAAACAAGUCACUGGGCCCCGGUGCAGCAUUGGGGACAAAUAUUUGACAGAAAGCAGAAGGCAGCCCUCUUCUCUGCAAAGAUGUGAUGGGAGAGACCCCAAGGUCUACGCAGCUAGGAUCCAGCAAGUUCCAGGCUAGAAUGUCUCUCUCUAUUGACACAUUCUGGAGAAGUAACUAAGCCUUCCUGGACACGAGUUUUCCCAAAUGCAAAAUCACAAGAAAAGAUCUCAACCUACUUUAUAGAAUUUUUGCAAGGAAAACAGAACUACGCAGAAUGCUCUGUCAGACCGCCGUGAGACCGAAUGUGCAAAGAUGACAGUCACAAGGGUUGCUACGGAGACGUGACCUGACCUCACUCAAUACGUGCUGUCCGCCCCGUAAUCACUGUGUGUCUGGGGGGGGGGUGAGCCCCAGGAGCGGGUGACGCCUGGGACGUCAUCUUUGCAGGACCUUUCCGGCGUCUGGUGUAAAGGUGUAAAAUCACGACCCCGAGUCCCUUUCCCGCCCUUGUGGCCUGUCCCAGGAUGGCAGAUAAAGGCAGAUCAGUUUUUCUACGCAGACUUCACAGCUUAGCUCUCUAGGGAGUCCCGUUAAAAAUGAUUUGGGGGGCGCCUGGGUGGCUCAGUCGGUUAAGCCUCCGGCUUCAGCUCAGGUCAGA
Suricata suricatta (meerkat) is the source of this 787-nucleotide long non-coding RNA. RefSeq lists it as uncharacterized. The record is from RefSeq and is a predicted model, not a curated record. The transcript is spliced from 3 exons. NCBI's taxonomy places the organism in Eukaryota, Metazoa, Chordata, Mammalia, Carnivora, Herpestidae.